Molecule: long non-coding RNA, 3190 nt
Organism: Onychostoma macrolepis
Lineage: Eukaryota; Metazoa; Chordata; Actinopteri; Cypriniformes; Cyprinidae
Exons: 3
Source: RefSeq, a predicted model, not a curated record
CUGUACUGCAGUUAUGCUAAGUGCUGUGAUUACAGUAGACUUGGCAAGUGUGUGUUAUUUAUUUAUUUUUGUAAUUUAGACUUCCUAUAAAAUAUUUGUACAAAACUAUUUUUGUACAAAAAAAAAAAAAAUGCCUAUGGAAUAUUUCACCCGCAUAGAAUAGAAUAGUCCGCACGUGAGAUCUUAUUUCGCGCCAAAAGUCGUUGUCCUGACAACGAGUCUAGCGAGCAGCUCAGCGUCUUUUCCAUAGUGUCCACUGCAGGAUGGAUAGAAAAGUAUAAAAUACGUUUUGGUUCGACAACAUCGUUCAUAUGUGAAAUAUCACAAUUAAAGCACAAAGACAUAACAUUACACCCCGAGGCCAUUCACAAGAGAAGAAACGCUUUCCGGAAGAGAAGUUCAUCAGGCGAGCAGGAGCGUUGACUUUGUCCAGUCAUCAUGUUUAGCAGAGAGCAUUAACUCCUAAUUGACGUGGAUAAAAAUAAUUGAAAAGUGUUCAGUGUGUACCCCCCUCUUUGCAACAGAGGAAGCAUUAGGAAAGAGGAGAAGAGAGAAAGUGAAAAGGCUCUCAACAGAUGUUGUUACGUCAUUCGCUCGUAGCUAGUGCCGAGUACUGGCUGUGCGUAAAGUUAUCUUCAAAAAUAUCUUUCAAGAACGGACAAAAGGACUGAAAUCUUCGUGAAACCCGAGGGAGACCAGAUAGCGCCCCAGAUCACCGUGAGGUCUGGGGUUCCUCUGGCUGUGUUGGAGUGUGACCCACAUCGGCUGCCAGUGACGGCGCAGGACGAGGAUCUGUAAGAGGGCAGUGUCUCACGACCAUUUCACGCUUCAUAAAGUAAUUCAGGUACACUUGUUUGCUUUUGUUUUGCGCUCAGGAGAGUGAAGAGGCCAGUUUUCCGUUUCCACGGCCACUACGCACUCAAGCCACAAUUCAGGCCUGCUCCGGAGUCCGGGGUGGGUUGUGAGUGUGGUCCUAUUAAUAUCAGUUCAUAUAGUGUUAUUCAGCGCGCUUCAGAAAUGUGAGUGUUCAGAGUAAUAUUUUGAAACACAGAGUUGUUCUGUACAUUUAAUUUCAAGUGUGUUAGUUUGCUCAAUUAACUCGAAGUGUAUUUGACAGUUCAGUAAAUUCAUCUCAUUCAGUCAUUUGUGAUAUUUCCCUUUUUGGGGUUAAAUUGUACCAAACUUGAGAUCAACUUGAUUGUGUGAAUACUUGAAAUUUAAAUUUAAGCUAUUUCUUACUCUUUAAUUAAAUUUUGUAUAUUUUUCUACUUUCUAAAGUGUUUUAUUUUUUCAAGAGUGUUUAUUUUUGACCGGUGAACUUGUGUGAACAUAGAUUUUAUUCUGAGCAACUUUCCAAAAGAGAAGUAUUUAUUUCAGUGACAUCAGAGGGGCCUUUUAAUACAACAUCUCUUAGGCACUAGUUUAUUGAACCCUUACUAAACCGUUAUAAAAGGAGGUAGGGGGCGCUACAUAUAUAUUCAGUAUUAGCAUUAUUUUCAACAGAAAUGCUGUGAUUGGCUACGAUACUCAACGUUGCAAAAUCAUUUUCAGCUGAACAAUCAGAUUGCUUAAUUUAGUAGCUUUCCUCUUUUAUUAAACAAUUACAAAUUAUAUUACACAUAGCAGAGAUCCUGUAAUAAAUAUACAAUGUAUUACUUCGCAUUAACCUGACCUUGUCACGAUGCACACAGCGGAGAGGAACGAGGACCACGGAGAUGAGGAUAACUUCCAAAAUAACAGUCUUUAAUAAACUCAAACAGGGCAAGACAAGACAAGGCUGAGACACACAGGAUGAAAAGGAACUAAACAGGCAGUAACUAAAUACACAAGAUAAUUAACACACACAGCUGGAUGAAAUCAUAAUCAAACUAAACAAGGACAAGGACAAGAAAAACCAUAUAAGGACACAAGAGGGCGGGAAACUGACAGAAACCGAGGACUGACCCCUGUUUAAAUAUGUAUUCAAAAUUUUAAUUUAUUCAGAAAGUUAUUACUGGUCUAUUGAAUAUAAAGCAAGUAAUGAUGAAUUCAGGUGCAUAAACAUAAUGCAAACCUGAACUAGCUCUGGUUACCAUCUUUGGCCUGCUUUGAGACAGCAGAAGUUCUUCUCUGUGCAAACUCGCAGGCAUUUUGGUUGCAUCAUGAAUGCAUCACGAGUCAGCAGAAACUGGAUGCCGUAACUGCACCGAAUUGUAUAAAUUAUAAUUUAUAAUGUAUAAUGCACGAACUUUGAAAUAAAAUGCAACGAUAACUCAGAUCAGUAUAUUGUGUUAAUUCUAGUGAACUGAACUAUGUGACUGAAUCAGAUCAAAUGCUUGAGAUGUUUGAACAUGAAAAAGAGGAAAAUGGGGAUCUGAGAAAGUAAGUCACAAGCUUGUAAACUGAAGCAAAUACAUCACGUGAAGCCUGUCAGAUGCAAAAGCAUAUAGUGGAAAAAUCUAACUGUGACUAGUUUAGUCAUUAUAUCACUUUUAUAAGAAAUACAAGAUGAAAUGGAAAUUAAAAUAAUACAUGGCUACAGAACAGACUACAACACAAAUCAUUAUAUAAUAGGCUAUGCACAAACCAACUGAACAUAUUCAUUCAAAAAAAGAGCAUCGUGUGUAUUUCAUUCAGGUUUCAUAACCAAUUUAUUUUCUCUUAUAUUGUAAAUGUCCAUUUUAAUAAGAAUUGAAAAAUAUUUGGUGCCAUUCUAGUUGAAAAAAAUAUAAAUACACACUUGAUCAAUGGUCAGUAUGGUGUUUAAAACCUUCAAUUCAGUUUAAAAAAGUAAAUGCAGUCAUGAAAUGUUACAUACAUUUGGUUUUUACACUACAAUACGUAGUGAAUUCAAUGCAAGAAAGUCUUUUCAAAAUGUUCUCAAUAAUGCUUUAAGCUCUAAACAGCUAGACUAAAAAAAUAAAAAUAAAAAACAUGACAGUGGUUUGUUAAUGAUAUGAUGGAUGACUUUAUGGAUUAAUUUUGCCAUUGAUUCAAAAAUGCUCAGAUACAGUUCAUGUGAUUAAUUUAACUCAUCAAUACAAAUUGCAUCCAUUAAAACGCACUAGUUUUCUGAAAUGUUACUUUGGCCUUUGAUCAAAUGAUCAAACUUCUCUAUUAAUUUGAUCUAAUGACACUCUGGAAAUAAUUCCAUCUUUUGCUUAAUCUGAAUUUCAAAUUAUUUACUUGAAAGUGAUGGAUGUGAACAUUA